Molecule: ribosomal RNA, 263 nt
Filed under: uncultured bacterium
Lineage: Bacteria
Description: partial 16S ribosomal RNA
Rfam family: Bacterial small subunit ribosomal RNA
Source: RNAcentral
UUUGUCUUACGGGAGGCAGCAGUGAGGAAUAUUGGUCAAUGGGCGGAAGCCUGAACCAGCCAAGUCGCGUGAGGGAAUAAGGCCCUACGGGUCGUAAACCUCUUUUGCCGGGGAGCAAGGGCCGGGACGCGUCCCGGCCCGGAGAGUACCCGGAGAAAAAGCAUCGGCUAACUCCGUGCCAGCAGCCGCGGUAAUACGGAGGAUGCGAGCGUUAUCCGGAUUUAUUGGGGUUAAAAGGUGCGUAGGCGGGCUUUUAAGUCAGC